RNAcentral lists this ribosomal RNA (130 nucleotides) under uncultured bacterium. RNAcentral's name for it is "partial 16S ribosomal RNA". The record is from RNAcentral.
GGUUAAGUCAAGACCCAGGGUUAUUAACCCUAGGCUUUCGUCUCUAUUGAAAGUGCUUUACAACCCUCAGGCCUUCUUCACACACGCGGUAUUGCUGGAUCAGGCUUGCGCCCAUUGUCCAAUAUUCCCC